GAUGAAGAACGCAGCGAAAUGCGAUACGUAAUGUGAAUUGCAGAAUUCAGUGAAUCAUCGAGUCUUUGAACGCACAUUGCGCCCCCUGGUAUUCCGGGGGGCAUGCCUGUCCGAGCGUCAUUGCUGCCCUCAAGCCCGGCUUGUGUGUUGGGUCUCGUCCCCCUUCCCGGGGGGACGGGCCCGAAAGGCAGCGGCGGCACCGCGUCCGGUCCUCGAGCGUAUGGGGCUUUGUCACCCGCUCUGUAGGCCCGGCCGGCGCUUGCCGAUCAACCAAAACUUUUUUCCAGGUUGACCUCGGAUCAGCUAGGGAUACCCGCUGAACUUAAGCAUAUCAUAAGCGGAGGA
Molecule: unclassified non-coding RNA, 345 nt
Filed under: soil metagenome
Description: partial contains 5.8S ribosomal RNA, internal transcribed spacer 2, and large subunit ribosomal RNA
Rfam family: 5.8S ribosomal RNA (bases 1-120)
Source: RNAcentral